RNAcentral lists this ribosomal RNA (4252 nucleotides) under Zingiber officinale. RNAcentral describes it as "18S ribosomal RNA". The stretch from base 3460 to 4252 matches the Rfam family "Eukaryotic small subunit ribosomal RNA", at positions 1 to 1427 of the family's 1831-position model. The record is from RNAcentral. Lineage: Eukaryota; Viridiplantae; Streptophyta; Magnoliopsida; Zingiberales; Zingiberaceae.
CCAAAUCUCAUACUUCGGCUAGAAUAAGUUUCAUAAAUUAACCUGCAGAGGCUGCAAACACUAAUAUCAAUUAAUCCACUUACAGUCAUCUUUGAACUUCCAGAGCAACCAACAUCAGGUGGUUGCAUGAGAGAUUCGACAUCCACAAUUGCAAUGCCCACUUUAUCCAUUGCUAUGAUCUAGUUCUGCAUAGAAAUGACGAAAAAGGAUUCAGCAGGAAAGCACUAUGAUGCUGACAACAGUUAGGAUUGUGAGUGAGAGAGAGAGAGAGAGAGAGAGAGAGAGAGGGAUCAACUUUGAAUAAUCCCACAAGUUUGACAAGUCUUGCCGUUCUUAUUAGUUGUCAAUGUUAUCCUUUAGACCUUGUUCUUAUUGAAAUGACCUAAAACUUUAUCUCCUUAUAGCUUUCAAAACAUGUUGUACAGAACCUUUCUCCUAAAACUUAUUUAAAUAAAUCCACUCCGAUGUAGUGUACUCAAAUAUGUUCAACUAGAAAGUAGUUAAAACUAUUUGGACAUCAGAAUCAACAGUGUGAAUAAAAAAAAAACUUAAAGACUCGAAUGUUCAACCAACCAAAAUAAGGAAUCUCAUAUAUGAUAUAUCUACCAGCAAUUACAUCAUCGACUCAGAAAAGGAACCUCAACAUCCCAACUACGAAGAAAAAACAAUAAUAUAAACAAAUAGAAGAAAGGACAAGACCCUCGAGUGUGCAUUGCUUGGUGCGAGCUAGCUCAUCCAUCAAGACCCUUUAUUUCCUCGUUACCUAUAUCAUAUGGAUCUAGUGAGUCUAGCAAGUUCAAACAUCUCACUGACCUUUAGUACCAUGGACCUUCAAACUUUAAUAAAAUAAUAUCAAACUUUAACUUUCAACAUCAAAAUAUUUAAGUGAGUUUAUAUCAUUGAAUGUAGUCCCUUUUUUCUUUUCCUCAACAUCUGUUCACCAAACUUUUACCCUAGUACUAGGCUUGGUAGCAUUCCUCGGUAUCCUCUAAGCCCGGUUCCACAAGCUUUGGUAAGGUUUCAGGUAUCCUCUAAGCCGGAUCCUUACCAUAGUACUAGGUUUGGUAGGGUUUCCCGGUAUCCUCUAAGUCAGGUUCCACUUGCCUUGGGUAAGGAUUCUAGCAUCCUCUAAGUCGGAUCCCACAACCCCUUUUUUCCUCUGAUUUGAUGAAGGAUUAUGGUAUUCUCUAAGCCGAACUCCUUUACUCGUCACAUUGCCACAUUCAUCAACAAGAAAAAUAGCUUACCUUUCAUGCAUUGAUAGUCAUAUAAAAAAUAUGAUAAUUUUACUUUGUAUGCUAAAACAUACCGUUAAUUUUUCAUGCAUCGAAAAACUUACUAAAAGUUAUGAUAAAAGAAUUAAAGGUGCUUAGACAUAAAUAUUAAACAAAAAUACUAUAAAUACAGAUGUUGUUUUAGGGAACACUGUCACACAUCCUCACCCAUCUUCCUAGCACCUACUCCCCCCUCCAACGCACCAUCCGCCCUCCUUCCUCCCUCAACUCCAGCCCCUUAUUCCGCAACCUGGUAGCACUCCCACUCAACCCCUCAACCCCUCAACCCCUUCCAGGAUUCUCAAGGCUCUAGCAAAUUUCCGAAAUUUCAAAGUCGAUAGAACUUUAGUCAAAACAACGCAACCAUGGUAAACUCGACAGAUCACACCGGCCCUCGUGCUGGCGAUGCAUCAUUCAAAUAUCUACCCUAUCAACUUUUGAUGGUAGGAUAGUUGCCUACCAUGGUGGUGACGGGUAACGGAGAAUUAAGGUUCAAUUCUGGAGAGGGAGCCUGAGAAACAGCUACCACAUCUAAGGAAGGCAGCAUACAUGCAAAUUACCUAAUCCUGACACGGGGAGAUAGUGACAAUAAAUAAUAAUAUCGAGCUCUUAAAGUUUGGUAAUUGGAAUGAGUACAAUCUAAAUCCCUUAACGAGGAUCCAUUGGAGGGCAAGUUUGGUGCCAGCAGCUGCGGUAAUUCCAACUCUAAUAGCAUAUAUUUAAGUUGUUGCAAUUAAAAAGCUCAUAGUUGGACCUUGGGUUGAGUCGAUCAGUCCACCUUGUUGUGUGCAUCGGUCGUCUCAUCCCUUCUGCCAAUGAUGCGUGCCUAGCCCUAGUUGAUCGGGUCGUGUCGCGCUGUUAAUUUGAAGAAAUUAGAGUGCUCAAAGAAAAUCUACGCUCUGGAUAUAUUAGCAUGGGAUAACGUCACAGGAUUUCGUUCCUAUUGUGUUGGCCUUGGGAAUUGGAGUAAUGAUUAAGAGGGGCAAUCAGGGGCAUUCAUAUUUCAUAGUCAGGUGAAAUUCUUAGAUUUAUGAAAGACGAACUGCAAAAGCAUUUGCUAGGGAUGUUUGGCUUUCUUUUACUUAGUUCGGAGCCUAUAGCGACUUCUACUCCAAGGUCCGCGAUUGUUGAUCGCUUUCGUUAAGCAAUCACUAUAGAUUUGAAAAUUGAGUACAAGUACAAAUAUGCAGCUUACAAGUAUUGCACAAAAUUAAACUUGUUACCAACGACUUGGAGAAAUAGAACUUCUAGCUUGAUCGUCAUCGGAGCAGCGUUUAGACGUUUUCAGAGUGUGUGCAAGAGCUCAAGUUGUUCUUCAAGAAUUGUUGUCGAAGCACUUGGUCGAGCCCUCCUUUUAUAGCCAAGCUUGAUCUCGGGAUCAGGUUUGACUCGCUGUCGAUCAGUUGACCGAUCCUCCUGAUCGGUCGACCGAUCUCGCCUGAAUCGGUCGGCCUUCUAGUUCUUCUGCUUGGAUAUACCGACCGAUCCCGCCGUUCGGUCGACCGAUCCCCAGCACAUCUGGUCCGAUCAAUUCGGCUCGGCAAUAUCACCGCUUAUCCCCGGUUCGGUCGAUCGAUCCCUCGAUCGAACCCGGUCCACUCAUUGGAACUCUGCUAUGUUUGCUGUUAUGUUUGCUUGGAGGUUCGGUCGACCGAUCCAAGCCAAACAUCAACCUGCAGAAUCAUUAGUCUUCCUGUAAAACAGAGUUAACACAUAGCAGAUAAUAUGUAAAUAAAUAACUUUGACAGCCUUCGGACUGUCCGAUUCUGACUUCGGAUUUACUCCGGAAACCCUAGGUCGAACCAACGCUUCCCUCACGAGGGAGCGCAUCCUCACCUACUCCUCUCAGGAGAAGUUACCCGUUGUCAGACCGGUCCUCCAGACCGAUUAGACUUUUGCUCAGCGCCUGAUGCUUCCGGUCUUCAUACUGGGCAUCCGCUCCACAACCCGCCCAAACUUUCACCCAGUCCGCGACCACCAGGAUUUCAACCUAGAGUCCCCGACUCUAGGAUUUUGCCUGAAGCACUCGACCCGCCAAGACUUUCCACCUAGGGUUACCACCCCCUAGGACCUAGGGUUACCACCCCCUAGGAUUUUCCACCUGCUUAACCGCAACUAAGACUUUUCCUCACCUAGGUUACCGCCCCCUAGGACCUAAGGUUACCACGCCCUAGGGUUUUCCACUUGCCUAGAAUCCACUAGAACUUUUACCUAAGAACACUUAGGACUUUUCCUGCAAGCUCAAUCAACCUUGUUAGAUAACAAGACAACUUAACUUUGGACCCUUUGGCAUAAUCAAAACCUAGGUUCGAUCGUCGGAUGCUUCCCAUACCAACAAUGUUUUCAUUAAUCAAGAACGAAAGUUAGGAGCUCGAAAAUGAUCAGAUAUCGUCCUAGUCUCAACCAUAAACGAUGUUGACCAGGGAUCGAUGGAUGUUGUUCUUUGGACUCCGCCGGCACCUUAUGAGAAAUCAAAGUUUUUAGGUUCCAAGGGGGAAUAUGGUCGCAAAGCUAAAACUUAAAGGAAUUGACGGAAGGGCACCGCCAGGAGUGGAGCCUGCGGCUUAAUUUGACUCAACACGAGGAAACUUACCAGGUUUAGAUAUAGUAAGGAUUGACAGAUUGAGAGCUCUUUCACGUGUGGCAAAAGGCGAUUCACUCACCACAAUGCCUCCGUCAACUCGUCCCUAGGCCAACACGGAGGAGGUAAAUCACGGGUGGCUACUAGUCAUUAGUACAAGUGGCCAAGACAUGGGGGAGGCAUGGUCGGACGGGCCGAGUUUCGAACCUAAGACCUCAUGUGGCAACACCCCAUAUCUUAACCACCGCACCGUCCCGAGAGGACAAUUGAGAGCUCUUUCACUUUUUUUUAAUGAAUAGGUAAAUAGAUCAUCGAAAAAGUGCAUACACGCCGAAAGUAUAAACGAUCCCAAAUAUGUCACUUCCAGACAAAUGUUGGAUCGACUGUGGGAACUUGA